GUUCGAUCCUGGCUCGGAAUGAACGCUAGAAAUAUGCUUUAACACAUGCGAGUCAAAUCUUAAUGAUUAAAUGCGAAUUUAAUUAUUAUAUUAAGUUGGCGUCCGGGUGCGUAAUAUAUGAAAAUUUACCCAAUAGAUUAGGAAAUUAAAAUACUAUAAUAAAAGAUUUAUCACUAUUGGAUGUUUUUGUACAUGAUUAGGUAGUUGGUUAGGUAAAAGCUGACCAAGCCGAUGAUCGUUAGUUGGUCUUAGCGGAUGAUCAGCCACAUUGGAACUGAAAUACGGUCCAAACUCUAGAAGCGGAGGCUGCAGUGGGGAAUAUUGGACAAUGAGCGAAAGCUUGAUCCAGCAAUAUUUUGUUGUUUUAGCAAUGUAAAAGUUGCGGGGACAAUGUUGUUAGCUAAAUUUAAAGAAAUAAAUACGUGAAGAGAUUAUGACAAAAGACUAAAGAGGAAG
RNAcentral lists this ribosomal RNA (456 nucleotides) under uncultured bacterium. RNAcentral's name for it is "bacterial SSU rRNA". It matches the Rfam family "Bacterial small subunit ribosomal RNA", at positions 11 to 490 of the family's 1533-position model. The record is from RNAcentral.